Molecule: ribosomal RNA, 497 nt
Filed under: uncultured bacterium
Lineage: Bacteria
Description: partial 16S ribosomal RNA
Rfam family: Bacterial small subunit ribosomal RNA
Source: RNAcentral
GAUGAACGCUGGCGGCGUGCCUAAUACAUGCCAGUCGAGCGAACAGACGAGGAGCUUGCUCCUCUGACGUUAGCGGCGGACGGGUGAGUAACACGUGGAUAACCUACCUUUAAGACUGGGAUAACUUCGGGAAACCGGAGCUAAUACCGGAUAAUAUAUUGAACCGCAUGGUUCAAUAGUGAAAGACGGUUUUGCUGUCACUUAUAGAUGGAUCCGCGCCGCAUUAGCUAGUUGGUAAGGUAACGGCUUACCAAGGCAACGAUGCGUAGCCGACCUGAGAGGGUGAUCGGCCACACUGGAACUGAGACACGGUCCAGACUCCUACGGGAGGCAGCAGUAGGGAAUCUUCCGCAAUGGGCGAAAGCCUGACGGAGCAACGCCGCGUGAGUGAUGAAGGUCUUCGGAUCGUAAAACUCUGUUAUUAGGGAAGAACAAAUGUGUAAGUAACUAUGCACGUCUUGACGGUACCUAAUCAGAAAGCCACGGCUAACUACGUG